AAUAUUGCGCAAUGGACGGAAGUCUGACGCAGCGACGCCGCGUGAGCGAUGAAGGACUNCGGGUCNUNUAGCGCGGUCCUUGGGGNAGAAGGCGAAAGCAUGACGGUACCCGAGAAGGAAGCCCCGGCUAACUACGUGCCAGAAGCCGCGGUAAUACGGAGGGGGCUAGCGUUGUCCGGAAUUACUGGGCGUAAAGGGUGCGUAGGCGGCCCUUUAAGUCAAAUGUGAAAGACUACAGCUCAACUGUGGUAAGCAUUUGAACCUGAAAGGCUUGAGUUAAGGAGAGGAAAGUGGAAUUCCUAGUGUAGCGGUGAAAUGCGUAGAUAUUAGGAGGAACACCAGUGGCGAAGGCGGCUUUCUGGACCACAACUGACGCUGAGGCUCGAAAGAGUGGGGAGCAAACAGG
Molecule: ribosomal RNA, 406 nt
Filed under: uncultured bacterium
Lineage: Bacteria
Description: partial 16S ribosomal RNA
Rfam family: Bacterial small subunit ribosomal RNA
Source: RNAcentral